This 561-nucleotide long non-coding RNA is filed under the name Homo sapiens (human). RNAcentral's name for it is "HSALNT0331921". Lineage: Eukaryota; Metazoa; Chordata; Mammalia; Primates; Hominidae. The record is from RNAcentral.
CCUUGCUUUCGUGCCACUGUAACUGUAAGCCUGCUUCAAGCUAGCCCACCCCCUUUUUAAAGUGUGUAUAAAAGUCAAGUGCUCGGAGUCGCUUCCAAGAUGGCCAAAUAGGAACAGCUCCAGUCUGCAGCUCCCAGCGAGAUCAACACAGAAGACAGGUCUCUCUCUGGCCCUCCUGGUCUCGCAAUGGUGAGACAUGCCUUUCACCUUCCACCAUGAUUGUGAGGCCUCCCCAGCCACAUGGAAUUACAAGAAACAGGUUCAGGGAGCAAAAGGUUUCCAGCAGCAAGAGGUUGCCAAGAAGAUAAACACCAACCCACUUACUCACCAUCCAAUAUCACCAGCCACCAUUGACAUAACAAGGAAAGGAAAGCUGUCUCAGCAGGGUUCAUGUGGUGGUCAGAUAAGAAAAUGUGUUUGAACUGUCUAGAUGAUAUUAAUUGGAUCCCUGCUUAUUUCUUUAAAUAAAUGUUUGUAAGUAAAUAGGUAUAUCCAGGUAUCUGUAUUUCUUUAGACCAUGUUUGGAUGAUAAAUCUUUUGGUUAAUGAUGGUGAUUAGUCA